This 106-nucleotide non-coding RNA is filed under the name Acetoanaerobium sticklandii. RNAcentral's name for it is "Clostridium sticklandii SAM-I sequence". It matches the Rfam family "SAM riboswitch aptamer (S box leader)". From Rfam's summary of the family: The SAM riboswitch is found upstream of a number of genes which code for proteins involved in methionine or cysteine biosynthesis in Gram-positive bacteria. The SAM riboswitch acts at the level of transcription termination control. The predicted structure consists of a complex stem-loop region followed by a single stem loop terminator region. The record is from RNAcentral. Lineage: Bacteria; Bacillati; Bacillota; Clostridia; Peptostreptococcales; Filifactoraceae. RNAcentral also lists the same sequence under 1 other name.
ACCUUAUCAAGAGAGGUGGAGGGACUGGCCCUGUGAAACCCGGCAACCAGCACAGCAAUGUGAGAUGGUGCCAAUUCCUGCGAGAUAUAUUCUUGGCAGAUGAGGU